GGCUGAGCUGUGAUGGCGAGCGAAAUAUAGUAGCGAAGUUCCUGAUUCCACACUGCCAAGAAAAGCCUCUAGCGAGGUGAGAGGUGCCCGUACCGCAAACCGACACAGGUAGGCGAGGAGAGAAUCCUAAGGUGAUCGAGAGAACUCUCGUUAAGGAACUCGGCAAAAUGACCCCGUAACUUCGGGAGAAGGGGUGCUCUGUUAGGGUGCAAGCCCGAGAGAGCCGCAGUGAAUAGGCCCAGGCGACUGUUUAGCAAAAACACAGGUCUCUGCGAAGCCGUAAGGCGAAGUAUAGGGGCUGACGCCUGCCCGGUGCUGGAAGGUUAAGAGGAGCGCUUAGCGUAAGCGAAGGUGCGAAUUGAAGCCCCAGUAAACGGCGGCCGUAACGAUAACGGUCCUAAGGUAGCGAAAUUCCUUGUCGGGUAAGUUCCGACCCGUACGAAAGGCGCAACGAUCUGGGCACUGUCUCAACGAGAGACUCGGUGAAAUUAUAGUACCUGUGAAGAUGCAGGUUACMCGCGACAGGACGGARAGACCCCGUGGAGCUUUACUGCAGCCUGAUAUUGAAUGUUGGUACAGCUUGUACAGGAUAGGUAGGAGCCUUGGAAACCGGAGCGCCAGCUUCGGUGGAGGCAUCGGUGGGAUACUACCCUGGCUGUAUUGACCUUCUAACCCGCCGCCCUUAUCGGGCGGGGAGACAGUGUCAGGUGGGCAGUUUGACUGGGGCGGUCGCCUCCUAAAAGGUAACGGAGGCGCCCAAAGGUUCCCUCAGAAUGGUUGGAAAUCAUUCGCAGAGUGUAAAGGCACAAGGGAGCUUGACUGCGAGACCUACAAGUCGAGCAGGGACGAAAGUCGGGCUUAGUGAUCCGGUGGUUCCGCAUGGAAGGGCCAUCGYUCAACGGAUAAAAGCUACCCCGGGGAUAACAGGCUUAUCUCCCCCAAGAGUCCACAUCGACGGGGAGGUUUGGCACCUCGAUGUCGGCUCAUCGCAUCCUGGGGCUGUAGUCGGUCCCAAGGGUYGGGCUGUUCGCCCAUUAAAGCGGUACGCGAGCUGGGUUCAGAACGUCGUGAGACAGUUCGGUCCCUAUCCGUCGCGGGCGCAGGAAAUUUGAGRGGAGCURUCCUUAGUACGAGAGGACCGGGAUGGACGCACCGCUGGUGUACCAGUUGUUCUGCCAAGGGCAUCGCUGGGUAGCUAUGUGCGGACGGGAUAAGUGCUGAAAGCAUCUAAGCAUGAAGCCCCCCUCAAGAUGAGAUUUCCCAUUCCGCAAGGAAGUAAGAUCCCUGAAAGAUGAUCAGGUUGAUAGGUCUGAGGUGGAAGUGUGGCGACACAUGGAGCUGACAGAUACUAAUCGAUCGAGG
This 1362-nucleotide ribosomal RNA is filed under the name Pseudomonas aeruginosa. RNAcentral's name for it is "partial 23S ribosomal RNA". It matches the Rfam family "Bacterial large subunit ribosomal RNA", at positions 1554 to 2912 of the family's 2925-position model. Lineage: Bacteria; Pseudomonadati; Pseudomonadota; Gammaproteobacteria; Pseudomonadales; Pseudomonadaceae. The record is from RNAcentral.